RNAcentral lists this small RNA (464 nucleotides) under Arabidopsis thaliana (thale cress). RNAcentral's name for it is "ATSL220710". Lineage: Eukaryota; Viridiplantae; Streptophyta; Magnoliopsida; Brassicales; Brassicaceae. The record is from RNAcentral.
UAAAUUAAUCAAAUACUUUUGUCAUCUUAAAAAUAUAGAAAUUGGUUCAAAUUAUUUAGGUUUUAGGGAAACUUUAUAGUUGGGAUUUGGAAACUUUGAUUGGAGAAAAAGUACCCAUUUAUAUCUCGGAACAAGGCCUUAUGACGUGUGAAUAAACGAGCAUGGUUACUACAAAAUCUGUAGAGGACCUCAUAAUAUGUGUGGUAUGGAUACAAUGGUAUCUACUAUUGUUGUUGUUCAUACCUCACCUAAGUAGAAUUAUUAGGAUACUACAUGUCUGUCCUUGUGUAUAUGUAUAUAUAGUUGCAUAAAGAUACUACAAACUUUUAUCGUUAGUAUUGUGUGUCUAUGUUUCAGCUUUUAAUGUAAAAUAGCCGAGCUCCUUUCUUACUUUUACUCCAUGUCCUUAUUACUUCGCUAUUAAUUUUGUUGCUCUCAUUAUUAUUACUAACUUAAAAUCUCAU